GUUCCCUCCAGCAGCACAUAUACUAAAACUGGAACAAUACAGAGAAGAUUGGCAUGGUCCCCGUGCGAGGGGGAGGUGCAAAUCUGUGAAGUGUUCCAUACUGAA
Suricata suricatta (meerkat) is the source of this 105-nucleotide small nuclear RNA. The record is from Ensembl. Lineage: Eukaryota; Metazoa; Chordata; Mammalia; Carnivora; Herpestidae.